This 484-nucleotide ribosomal RNA is filed under the name uncultured bacterium. RNAcentral's name for it is "partial 16S ribosomal RNA". It matches the Rfam family "Bacterial small subunit ribosomal RNA", at positions 30 to 507 of the family's 1533-position model. The record is from RNAcentral.
AUUGAACGCUGGCGGCAGGCCUAACACAUGCAAGUCGAGCGGAUGAAGGGAGCUUGCUCCUGGAUUCAGCGGCGGACGGGUGAGUAAUGCCUAGGAAUCUGCCUGGUAGUGGGGGAUAACGUCCGGAAACGGGCGCUAAUACCGCAUACGUCCUGAGGGAGAAAGUGGAGGAUCUUCGGACCUCACGCUAUCAGAUGAGCCUAGGUCGGAUUAGCUAGUUGGUGGGGUAAAGGCCUACCAAGGCGACGAUCCGUAACUGGUCUGAGAGGAUGAUCAGUCACACUGGAACUGAGACACGGUCCAGACUCCUGCGGGAGGCAGCAGUGGGGAAUAUUGGACAAUGGGCGAAAGCCUGAUCCAGCCAUGCCGCGUGUGUGAAGAAGGUCUUCGGAUUGUAAAGCACUUUAAGUUGGGAGGAAGGGCAGUAAGUUAAUACCUUGCUGUUUUGACGUUACCAACAGAAUAAGCACCGGCUAACUUCGUG